This 2165-nucleotide ribosomal RNA is filed under the name freshwater bacterium LH6-2. Its description in RNAcentral is "bacterial LSU rRNA". It matches the Rfam family "Bacterial large subunit ribosomal RNA", at positions 3 to 1996 of the family's 2925-position model. The record is from RNAcentral.
UCAAAUUAUUAAGUGCAGAUGGCGAAUGCCUAGGCACCAGAAACCGACGAAGGACGUAUGAGGCUGCGAAAAGCCUCGGGGAGCUGCCAACAGAGCAUUGAUCCGAGGAUUUCCGAAUGAGGAAACUCAGCGCGAGUAAUGUCGCGUUAUUUCUCCCAGAACACAUAUGGGAGAUAAAGGGAACGUGGGGAAGUGAAACAUCUCAGUACCCACAGGAAGAGAAAACAAACGUGAUUCCGUUAGUAGUGGCGAGCGAAGGCGGAAGAGGCUAAACCGUUAAUGUGCCAAGCCAGCAGGCGUUGCAUUAGUGGUGUUGAGGGACCAACCCGGAUCUACUGCUGUAGAUCUAACAAGUCAGAAAUUAAAGAUGUAGGUGAACGGCGUGGGAAAGCCGGGCGAAGAAGGUGAGACCCCUGUAACCGAAACAUCUUUAACUUGUAGUUGGUAUCCCAAGUAAUACCGGACUCGUGAAAUCCGGUAUGAAUCUGGCGGGACCACCCGCUAAGCCUAAAUAUUCUCUGGUGACCGAUAGUGAACAAGUACCGUGAGGGAAAGGUGAAAAGAACCCCGCAAGGGGAGUGAAAUAGAAUCUGAAACCGUCUGCAUACAAGCCGUUGGAGCUACCUUGAGUAGUGACAGCGUGCCUUUUGAAGAAUGAGUCUACGAGUUAGUGUCAUGUGGCGAGGUUAACCGGUCGACGGGAAGCCGUAGCGAAAGCGAGUCUGAAUAGGGCGAAUGAGUCGCAUGAUCUAAACCCGAAGCGAGGUGAUCUAUGCAUGGUCAGGUUGAAGCGUGGGUAAGACUGCGUGGAGGACCGAACCCACAAACGUUGAAAAGUUUGGGGAUGAACUGUGCUUAGGGGUGAAAGGCCAAUCAAACUUCGUGAUAGCUGGUUCUCUCCGAAAUGCAUUUAGGUGCAGCGUUACGUGUUUCUUGCUGGAGGUAGAGCUACUGGAUGGCCGAGGGGACCUACAAGUUUACCAACGUCAGCCAAACUCCGAAUGCCAGUAAGUGAGAACGUAGCAGUGAGACAGUGGGGGAUAAGCUUCAUUGUCGAGAGGGAAACAACCCAGAACAGCAACUAAGGUCCCAAAGCGUGUGCUAAGUGGAAAAGGAUGUGAAGUCGCAUAGACAACCAGGAUGUUGGCUUAGAAGCAGCCACCAUUAAAAGAGUGCGUAAUAGCUCACUGGUCAAGUGAUUUCGCGCCGACAAUGUAACGGGGCUCAAGCACGCCACCGAAGUUCUGUCAUUCACACAUGUUCCAGGUCGCAAGAUCCAGGAGUGUGGAUGGGUAGGAGAGCGUCGUGUAACUAGUGAAGCGGUGGAGGAAUCCAACCGUGGAAGUUGCACGAGUGAGAAUGUAGACAUGAGUAGCGAAAGAUGGGUGAGAAACCCGUCCGCCGAAUGACCAAGGGUUCCUGGGCCAGGCUAAUCCGCCCAGGGUAAGUCGGGACCUAAGACGAGGCCGUCAGGCGUAGUCGAUGGACAACUGGUUGAUAUUCCAGUACCCGCUAAGAGCGCCCAGAACGAGCCCGCUAAUGCUAAGUGCCUGAAGUUUGCUUGGGGUAAAACCUAAAGCGGAUGGAGCGCGCGAACCGAGGCGGUAGUAGUUCAGCAAUGGUGUGACACAGGAAGGUAGUUCAGCCCAGGCGAUGGUUGACCUGGGGUAAGAGUGUAGGAAGUAAUGUAGGCAAAUCCGCAUUACACAUUUCUGAGACUUGAUGCCGAGCCGUAUGGCGAAGUGAAUGAUCCUAUGCUGUCAAGAAAAACAUCUAGCGAGCUCAAAAGCGGCCCGUACCCGAAACCGACACAGGUGGUCAGGUAGAGAAUACCAAGGCGAUCGAGAGAAUCGUGGUGAAGGAACUCGGCAAAUUACCCCCGUAACUUCGGGAUAAGGGGGGCCAAAUUACGUGUAGGGAUUUACUCCCGAAGCGUGAGUUGGCCGCAGAGACUAGGCUCAAGCGACUGUUUACCAAAAACACAGGUCCGUGCUAAUUCGUAAGAAGACGUAUACGGACUGACGCCUGCCCGGUGCUGGAAGGUUAAGGGGAUUGGUUAGCCGCAAGGCGAAGCUGAGAACUUAAGCCCCAGUAAACGGCGGUGGUAACUAUAACCAUCCUAAGGUAGCGAAAUUCCUUGUCGGGUAAGUUCCGACCUGCACGAA